CUUUAAAUAUUAGAUCUUCAAGUAGCUAAGUUAAUAAAACAAACUAAAACAAAAACUUAUAGGAAGUUAGAGGGCUUCACUUCUGUCUGGGAUAAAAAAGUCACGAACUUUCCUUAGGUCUUUUACAAUAUGAAAACAGUGCCCAGAUGAAGUCCCAGAGCAUUGAACUACAGAGUGCUUAUUUCUUUCAAAAGACCAGGGAUUGGAAGACAGGAAUUAGAGGAUAGCCAGGAUCCAGGCCAGUUCAGAGCCUUUACAGAUAAGAAUUCCAUCUUCUAGGGACAAUUCUGUUAUAGGCAACAAUGAUCUGUGACUUCUUUUGAGAUCAUAGUUCUUGACUAAGUCAAGAACUCAAGUUCUUUAUCUUGGUGUACCUCCUAAAAACAAUAAACUCUCUGACCUGGAAGAUUUUGAGAAUAGGGAUUUGUGAGUGUUCUGGGUCCACCAGAAAUAGUGGAUUCCUAUGGAUAACUGGACAGGCACAGCAGUACAACUCAAUCUCAGUGUGUAGUUCUAGACACCUAAGAUAAUUGCUGUACUAUUUAAAUUGUUUUCACAUUUUUUUACUCUGAGUUAAUCUUCCUUACAAACCUGGACACCUGCUUAAGGGGUUUUCUCCUUCUUUAUUAUAUUUUUCCCUUUUGCAUAUUUAUUUUAGACCUGGGUUAAUUCAGAAAAGUAGAAAAAAGGUCUCUAAGAUAACCAAUAAUGUUCUGGAUAUUUCUUUCCAUUCUGUCUAGAUUUUCCUGUUCUGGUUUUGAUUUUGGUUUUGCAAGCAAUGCUGUAACUGUUGUUCUGUUUUUGUUUUCACUUAGUCAUCUUAACAUAAUUUAAAUAUCAUUUUUCUGUUAACACAAGUUUCUCACAAAUGCCAUAUUGGUAGGUGCAUAAUAAUCCAUCUAAUGAGUGUGUUGUGAUUAUUCAACAAUUUCUCUAUAAUUAGCCAAGUAUGAAAAACUGUUUUAAAAUAUAAUAUGUUAUGAUGGCAAAGAUCUAGUAAAAAUGGAAUUGUCCA
RNAcentral lists this long non-coding RNA (1015 nucleotides) under Equus caballus (horse). RNAcentral's name for it is "lncRNA (ENSECAG00000060007.1)". Lineage: Eukaryota; Metazoa; Chordata; Mammalia; Perissodactyla; Equidae. The record is from RNAcentral.